This 46-nucleotide non-coding RNA is filed under the name Trichobilharzia regenti. Lineage: Eukaryota; Metazoa; Platyhelminthes; Trematoda; Strigeidida; Schistosomatidae. The record is from RNAcentral.
AUCCGAAUGACGAGUCUCAAGAUAGGACGAAACGCACUUCAUGGAU